Non-coding RNA from Capsicum annuum, 104 nucleotides. The record is from Rfam. Lineage: Eukaryota; Viridiplantae; Streptophyta; Magnoliopsida; Solanales; Solanaceae.
UAGUGAUGUAGACAAUCCUAAAGAAGGGCCUUGAAGCUUUCCCAAGCGUGAUAUAGAUUUUCAUUAGUCUUCUAUUUAAAGCUUAAUAUCUCACUGCAAAACUU